UUAAGGGUGGGCCGUCUUUUCCAAUUUUAUUUUAUUUUACUUUUCUUAUGGGGGUGGGUAUGAGGCAAAAUCCCUCUGUCCACCAGAGGUGUAGUCUACCUUACUCAAACCUCUCCCACAAUCUGCCACCUCAGAACACUUUUUUUCUUCCUUAGAAGACCCUCAUAAUUCCCAUAUCUUCUUUGGUCCAUAUGGAAGAGAAGAAACAACCUUACUUUCAACCAACUUCAAACUACCCCGGAAAAAUAGUUCCACACCUCUAGAAGUUGCAACUUAUCCAUUUCUCUACCCCCUUCGAACCUUCCAUCCUGGAUCCCACCUCCCUUGGUGUGAUAAUGUUAAAUUGUGACUCGUCCUUUAUAUGUUUGGCAAUGAUGCGAGUGUAGCAGGGGUGUUUAGGGACUAUGCUGGAAACUGGCUCCUGGGUUUUUAGCAAAAGUGUAAAGUCUAGUCAUCAAAGUCGUCAGGGCUUAUAAGAGCAUAUACAUUGGUUGGCUCCUCAAAAAAGCUCUUGGGAGACUUUUCACUCUCUCUCUACCACUAUCUCUCUACAAGACACGCUCAAUAAUUCAUUCCUAAAAAAUCCAACAUUGGUUGGUUCCUAAAGAAAUUUGUCAUUCGAAGCUCCGAUACAACACUCAAUCCACAAAGGUUGUACUACUAGUGUGAUCCUUGCAACAAUCUGAGAUGGUGCAAGGGAGUAGUUGAGCAAGAAAACAGGGGGCAGCAGCAUGAAGGACAAUACAGGGGAAGCUUAGACGAAGGAGAAAGUAUUGAAAAUAGGGGAAACAGUAAGAUGCAAUAGGACUUGAAGCAAAUGAAGAAAAAACUGAUAUUGUAAUGUCAAUACAAGGCAUCUUACUUUGAUUUUGAAAUGAAGAAAGGCUAAUCCUAUUUAUGUCAUGGUUUGGGAUGGACAUGCAAAACUUAGGACUCAGGAGAGCACGCAAGUACUUUUAGCAAAGAAAGGUCAGGACUUCGGAGAACUCUUAGCAAAGAAAUCGGAGGCAACCAACAUGUGAAAGAAGUCCGAGGGCAUGGUCUUAUUAUUGUUAUAGAGUUGGAUGUACAAGCUAUCCCGCUAGUUGAUGCUUGUCGAAAUUCAGUAAUGUUAAAUUGUUAAUAUUAACUGCUGGAAAAGGAAAAUAGUGAGAUUGGUUCCUCCACUGACCAUAUUAUCGCAGGAGCUCGAAACAGGUUCUGAGAUUCUCCUCAAGUGUUUCCCGUCCCUGGGUUGAAGCAGUUGAGUUGAUUUGUGUACGAUGAGUCGAUGCUUGUCAAAUUUCCUUGUGACAUCAGUAGAUCCAAAGCUCGCAAUUGGCAUAGUAGCUGUAAAUCAGGAAUAAGUUUUCCUACUAGCUUUUCUUUGGAUUAUGCCUUGGGUUUGACGUACAAAUUGUCAUUUCAAGAUAUCCCACUCGUUAAUCAGAACAUUGAUUUUCUUUGA
Molecule: long non-coding RNA, 1447 nt
Organism: Spinacia oleracea (spinach)
Lineage: Eukaryota; Viridiplantae; Streptophyta; Magnoliopsida; Caryophyllales; Amaranthaceae
Exons: 2
Source: RefSeq, a predicted model, not a curated record